This is an RNA transcript of Lycium ferocissimum, 1608 nucleotides long. RefSeq lists it as uncharacterized. Lineage: Eukaryota; Viridiplantae; Streptophyta; Magnoliopsida; Solanales; Solanaceae. The transcript has 8 exons. The record is from RefSeq and is a predicted model, not a curated record.
GUUGUGUGGGUGUGUGUUAGCAUCGUAAAAUUUUGAUCUUUCCCGUCACUCUCAACAAUUACAUGGUACUCUCAUUUACACACUUGCUGUUGCUCUUUUCUUUCCUAACUUCCUGUUAUGAAAUCAGAAAUCAGUUAAAAAUUCCAUCCAAUAAAAGAUAAUGUCAAGAGCUUUUGCCUCCAACAUUAGUCUUCCCCCAUGGAAUUCCUCUGAGCCACCACCAAUUCCAUGUCAUCCUCAAUUCCACUUGACACCAACCACUCGCCGUCACCUUAUCACCUCAAUUUCCAUCAUAAUAUCUCCAUUUCUCGCUUCUCCAAAGCUCAAUGAUCCACUUAACCCCUUUUCCUUACCAGUAUCCAAUGCUCGUGGGCUUUUCCAAAUGCCCCCUUUCCGCCUCACCAACCGGUACUUUCUGGUGAGAGCAGGGGAAUCGGAAUAUGAGAGUUUGGGGUUAAUUAACACUAAUCCAGUAGCCAAAACAUCAGUGGAUAAUGGGCUUUCUGAGAAAGGGAAGAAACAGACAGUUAGGGCAGCGUUCGAUUUGAAAGAAAUGAGGGCUUGUGAAGGGAAUUGUUGGAUUUGGCCUUCUAUUACUCAGAGAGCUUAUCAAGCUGCUGAGAUUAUCGCUGCUGUUAAUAGUGUUAAUCGAAGCCAUAUAGUCCCUGAAUAUAGCUUUCUGGAUGCUCGUGGACUGGGGGCAUAUGAGGGGAAAAGUUUGGAUACAUUAUCUGAAGUGUAUGAAUCAGACAGCCUUUCUCCGAAUAUAAAGCCACCUCCUAUUGAUGACGGCACACCGAAUGAGAGUGUUGCAGAUGUCUUUGUUCGCGUAACGCAACUUAUGUCGAUUCUUGAAACUCAAUACUCUGAGGACACAGUUAUCAUAGUCUCACCAGAUUCAGACAACUUGACAGUUCUGCAAGCUGGUUUAACAGGGCUUGAUCUUCGAAGGCAUAGGGAUCUUUCUUUUGGACCAGGUGAAGUUAGAUUUGUUGAUGCUAGCAGCAUACCUACCUAUAAGCAACCUGCAUCAACAGUCUACAAAUGCUUAAACCCCCCUAGCUGUACAUGAUCACUAUACUCCUAAGCUUGAUAUCAUCAACAAGAAUGCAGUUGAAAAGUUCCUUACAGAACUGCUGCUAUAGUAGAAUUUUCCACUGAAACGAUCGAUCAGUGCUUCAUGUAAAUCAGGAUCAUUUCUCAUUAUUGUUGGUGAAGAUGCGCUCAGCUCUUAUUCAGUCUCAAUGAAUGCUAAAUGAUGCUUAGUGCUGACAGUGUACAAAUAGCACGAUUCAUGACCUGCACAAAAAAUGGUGGCUAGCCAAUGUUACUCGCUAAUGAAACAUGGAUUAUGAAAAUUUCUUCAGCUGCCAUAUGAUCAGGCUUUCUGGAAACAGUUCAUUGAGCAAGCUUAAAAGCUUUAUGAAAGGAACACGUCAAGUUUUAAUGUCUUAUUUGCUGCAGUAAAAACAGGAAAACUUAAUUCAACUUGUUUCUUCUCUUCUCUAUUGAAAUAAAGAAUGGUGGUAUUGCAAUAGUUGAAUUUUGGUUGAAGCAUAUUUCAUAAUUUAAAAAAAAAAAAAAAAAAAACAUAAAAUUUUGAAAAUG